Molecule: long non-coding RNA, 2035 nt
Filed under: Podarcis lilfordi (Lilford's wall lizard)
Lineage: Eukaryota; Metazoa; Chordata; Lepidosauria; Squamata; Lacertidae
Source: RNAcentral
GGCAGGAGAGGAGGGAGGCGAAGAGGCAGAGAUGAGACUGGCUGCUGAACAGCCAUGGUUGUCUCCUCCUCCUGCUGGCAGAUGGGGCUCAACAACCUUUGAAGAUAGCCCUGUCAGGAGAAGGAAACGCCAUACACAUCGCCCAGGGUAGGUCACUUGGGUGGUGCUAACGGAGAGGUUUGACCUCACCCCCAGAGUUGCACUCCAUGGUCUCUCAAGACAGACGGAGGCCAACAACAGGGGAACAACAGUUCUCCAUAGCUGACCCACCAUCGUUUUAGCCAAACAAUAGCCAGUCCACUUCUGGCGGUUGCCUCCCUGCGAGAAGUGAGGUUACAGGGAACCAGGCAGAGGGGCCUUCUCGGUAGUGGCACUUUCCCAUCAGAUGUCAAGGAAAUAAACAACUAUCUGAAUUUUAGAAGACAUCUGAAGGCAGCCCUGUUUAGGGAAGUUUUUUUAAUGUUUGAUGUUUUAUUGUGUUUUUAAUACAGUGGUACCUCGGGUUAAGUACUUAAUUCGUUCUGGAGGUCCGUACUUAACCUGAAACUGUUCUUAACCUGAAGCACCACUUUAGCUAAUGGGGCCUCCUGCUGCUGCCGCCGGAGCCCAAUUUCUGUUCUCAUCCUGAAGCAAAGUUCUUAACCUGAAGCACUAUUUCUGGGUUAGUGGAGUCUGUAACCUGAAGCGUAUGUAACCUGAAGCGUAUGUAACCCAAGGUACUACAGUAUUCUGUUGGGAGCCACCCAGAGAGGCUGGGGGAACCCAGCCAGAUGGGUAGGGUAUAAACAAUAAAAUAUUACUAUUACUAUUACUAUUACUAUUACCGUACUAUUAUUUUGCCCACACUCACUUAGUGGUGGUAUUUUCCUAUGGUUCCACCGAAACAGAGGCCUAGGGAGCCAUAAGUAGGUGAAUAUGUUUUAAGAUGGGUCCCCAUGAAAUGGCUGCUACAGGUCAUUCUGUAAUUCACGGAAGGGAUAAAAUGAGAGCAACUAGUAGAUUAAAAUGUCUGAUGAUCUGAAGUCCCAUGAUCUGAUCCAAUCCUGAACAACAACAACUGUUGGCCUUAGUUUUAAUUGCACAACUCGUAAGAAAGUGGGCUUUUUUUCACAAACAUCUUAUCAAUAAACUGUGAAAUGUACAUUCUCAAAAAGAUCUGGAAGCAGUUUAUCAUCCCCCCACUGCCCAUAUUUGCAUUUCUAAAGGCAUCCCACAGUUUUGAAAAUUAUUUGUAUGAAGCGCCUUAGGCCAUUCUGUCAAGCCUUUGUUUAGAGCCAAAAUUUUGCUGAAGCUCUCCCAACAUGGGAAGAGAAAGUGUCACAAAAUACCUGAGUGUUUCUGGUGCCUGUGUAGUCUAAGAUUUGUGUGAUCAUUUACUUUAUUGUUCUUUAUAUUCUUAGCCAAGGGAGAAAUUUAUUCUGAAUCUGAUAUGGGGCAUGUCCAAUACUAAUGAUCAAGCUAAAAUUGUAUUGUUAUUGUCUAACCAAGAUAAAUUUGUUAUAGAUAGGGUAACCAGAUUUGUGGUGAUUGUUUAAAAGUUAAGGAAAAUGUUUGCUGAGGAUAAUUUGGUGAACUGUAAAAAUGUUAUAUGAUACACAAGUUAUUGAUUAUAGCCCCCGUAUAUAAAUCUAAGGAAAAAGCAUAUUGAUUUUAAUUCUGCAACUUCCAGAGAAGCUAUAUAUUGUUGGCUGGGUUUGGGGGGGGGGGGUUUACACUGCUGAUAACAUGUUUCUUUCUUGUUUUAUUUAUAGUUUAAGAUUGCUGCAAUGGCCAUAAUGGUUGAAACAAUAAAUACUUAUGCAGGGAGGAAGUCAAUCUCAAAAUCCCCAACCUGCAGUUUGGAGUGGUACUUUCCAGUGGAAACAUGUGAUCUGUUCUCUGUGAUGGGUGUACCUGAACAGCAAAAGGGGAUGGCUUUUCUCCAGAAAAGGGAGAUGUUAACACUUGGAGAAUGCAGGCUGAAGAGAAAGAUUCCAUCAAUUACAAAACCGAUUUAAACAUCUUUUGAUUGCAAUUGACUGAUAGCUUAGUGGGG